UACGUAGGGCGCAAGCGUUGUCCGGAAUUAUUGGGCGUAAAGAGCUCGUAGGCGGCCUGUUGCGUCCGCUGUGAAAUCCCGGGGCUCAACCCCGGGCGUGCAGUGGAUACGGGCUGGCUGGAGGCAGGCAGGGGAGAGCGGAAUUCCUGGUGUAGCGGUGAAAUGCGCAGAUAUCAGGAGGAACACCGGUGGCGAAGGCGGUUCUCUGGGCCUGUACUGACGCUGAGGAGCGAAAGCGUGGGGAGCGAACAGG
Molecule: ribosomal RNA, 253 nt
Filed under: uncultured bacterium
Lineage: Bacteria
Description: partial 16S ribosomal RNA
Rfam family: Bacterial small subunit ribosomal RNA
Source: RNAcentral